Molecule: ribosomal RNA, 1021 nt
Filed under: uncultured archaeon
Lineage: Archaea
Description: bacterial SSU rRNA
Rfam family: Archaeal small subunit ribosomal RNA
Source: RNAcentral
UCCGGUUGAUCCUGCCGGACCCUACUGCUAUCGGGGUGGGACUAAGACAUGCUAGUCAUGCGCCUUCUAGCCAUGAUGAAGGCGCGGCGCACAGCUCAGUAGCACGUGGCUAACCUGCCCUUGGGACAUGGAUACCCCCGGGAAACUGGGGCUAAUACGUGAUAGGUGGAGGCUCCUGGAAUGGGUCUUCGCCUAAAGGGCGCCUAGGCCAUGCUUCUAGGUGCUGCACAAGGAUGGGGCCGCGGCCGAUCAGGUUGUUGGUGAGGUAAUGGCCCACCAAGCCUAUGACCGGUGCGGGCCGUGGGAGCGGGAGCCCGGAGAUGGGCACUGAGACAAGGGCCCAGGUCCUACGGGGCGCAGCAGUCGCGAAAACUCUGCAAUACACGAAAGUGUGACAGGGCUACCCCGAGUGCCGUCCGCUGAGGAUGGCUUUUAUCCAGUCUAGAUAGCUGGAGGAAUAAGGAGAGGGCAAGUCUGGUGUCAGCCGCCGCGGUAAUACCAGCUCUCCGAGUGGUGGGGAUGAUUAUUGGGCCUAAAGCAUCCGUAGCCGGCUGGGCAAGUCCCCUGUUAAAUCCACCGAUUUAAUCGGUGGAUUGCGGGGUAUACUGCUCGGCUAGGGGACGGGAGAGGUCGACGGUAUUUCCGGGGUAGGGGUGAAAUCCUAUAAUCCCGGAAAGACCACCAGUGGCGAAGGCUGUCGGCUAGAACGCGCCCGACGGUGAGGGAUGAAAGCUGGGGGAGCGAACCGGAUUAGAUACCCGGGUAGUCCCAGCCGUAAACGAUGCAGGCUAGGUGUUUGGGCGGCCACGUGCCGCUCUAGUGCCGCAGGAAAGCUGUUAAGCCUGCCGCCUGGGGAGUACGGCCGCAAGGCUGAAACUUAAAGGAAUUGGCGGGGGAGCACCACAAGGGGUGAAGCUUGCGGUUUAAUUGGAGUCAACGCCGGAAAUCUCACCGGGAGCGACAGCAGGAUGAAAGCCAGAUUAAAGGUCUUGCCAGACAAGCUGAGAGGAGGUGCAUGGCC